CCUACGGGAGGCAGCAGUAGGGAAUCUUUCACAAUGGGCGAAAGCCUGAUGGAGCAACGCCGCGUGCAGGAUGAAGGCUUUCGGGUCGUAAACUGCUUUCAUAAGCGAGAAAUAUGAUGGUAACUUAUGAAUAAGGAUCGGCUAACUACGUGCCAGCAGCCGCGGUCAUACGUAGGAUCCGAGCAUUAUCCGGAGUGACUGGGUGUAAAGAGUUGGGUAGGUGGGAUAAUAAGUAGCGAGGGAAAUCGGGUGGCUCAACCAUUCAGACUAUUGGCUAAACUGUUAAGCUCGAGACCGUUAGGGGUAACUGGAAUUUCUAGUGUAGGAGUGAAAUCCGUAGAUAUUAGAAGGAACACCAGUAGCGUAGGCAGGUUACUGGGACGGUUCUGACACUAAGGCACGAAAGCGUAGGGAGCAAACGGGAUUAGAUACCCGUGUAGUC
RNAcentral lists this ribosomal RNA (442 nucleotides) under uncultured bacterium. RNAcentral's name for it is "partial 16S ribosomal RNA". It matches the Rfam family "Bacterial small subunit ribosomal RNA", at positions 338 to 795 of the family's 1533-position model. The record is from RNAcentral.